Molecule: long non-coding RNA, 102 nt
Organism: Phyllostomus discolor (pale spear-nosed bat)
Lineage: Eukaryota; Metazoa; Chordata; Mammalia; Chiroptera; Phyllostomidae
Exons: 3
Source: RefSeq, a predicted model, not a curated record
AGUUAGUAUCUCCUGAAGCACUUAAUUAAACAAUGAUGCUCCAUCCAGAGAAGUUGUCCAACUCUGUGGAGGAUGACAAACCCCAUGUCAUUUGUCAGAACU